This 429-nucleotide ribosomal RNA is filed under the name Chloroflexota bacterium. RNAcentral's name for it is "Chloroflexi bacterium partial 16S ribosomal RNA". It matches the Rfam family "Bacterial small subunit ribosomal RNA", at positions 355 to 776 of the family's 1533-position model. The record is from RNAcentral. Lineage: Bacteria; Bacillati; Chloroflexota.
UGGGGAAUAUUGCACAAUGGGCGCAAGCCUGAUGCAGCCAUGCCGCGUGUAUGAAGAAGGCCUUCGGGUUGUAAAGCACUUUCAGCGGGGAGGAAGGCGGUGAGGUUAAUAACCUUGGCGAUUGACGUUACCCGCAGAAGAAGCACCGGCUAACUCCGUGCCAGCAGCCGCGGUAAUACGGAGGGUGCAAGCGUUAAUCGGAAUUACUGGGCGUAAAGCGCACGCAGGCGGUCUGUCAAGUCGGAUGUGAAAUCCCCGGGCUCAACCUGGGAACUGCAUUCGAAACUGGCAGGCUAGAGUCUUGUAGAGGGGGGUAGAAUUCCAGGUGUAGCGGUGAAAUGCGUAGAGAUCUGGAGGAAUACCGGUGGCGAAGGCGGCCCCCUGGACAAAGACUGACGCUCAGGUGCGAAAGCGUGGGGAGCAAACAGG